Molecule: long non-coding RNA, 305 nt
Filed under: Capsicum annuum
Lineage: Eukaryota; Viridiplantae; Streptophyta; Magnoliopsida; Solanales; Solanaceae
Description: long non-coding RNA (CANN_LNC005065)
Source: RNAcentral
ACCAAGAUAAGUAAUCUAACCAAUGAAGUUCAAUAGCAUAGUAUGAUUGUUCAUAGUGCUUUAACCCCGGGUUUCAUUCUCAUUGACUGGCCAAGCCAUUUAUUUCUCCACAUUGUUUACUUUAAUUUAGUUUUCAAAUUCCAAAUUCAUUUUAUUUCCUUUACAUUACUUUAAUCUCAAUAGUGAAAGAGAAUUGGAUAGUUGCUUAACACUAGUCCCUGUGGGAUCAAUACUUGGCUUCUAAAGGACUACUUUACUACUUAAUGAGACCACGUACACUUGCGUGUGCGCUUGGGUGCAAUAUG